This 465-nucleotide ribosomal RNA is filed under the name uncultured bacterium. Its description in RNAcentral is "partial 16S ribosomal RNA". It matches the Rfam family "Bacterial small subunit ribosomal RNA", at positions 28 to 507 of the family's 1533-position model. The record is from RNAcentral.
GACGACCGCUGGCGGCGUGCUUAACGCAUGCAAGUCGAACGGUAAGGCCCCUUUGGGGGUACCUGCUCGGCGAUCGGCUGUGUAAUACUUGCGAAAGCUGCCCUCCUUUUCGUUCUCACAGACGGAACCAACGGCUAAUACCGGACAUUCAUCACCUCCUUCCUGGGGGGAGGUGCUAAACUCCGGCGGUCAGGGAUGGGCUCGCGGCCUAUCCGCUUGUUGUUGAGGUACUGGCUCAUCAAGGCUUCGACGGGUAGCCGCCCUGCGAGGGUGACCGGCCACACUGGUACUGAGAUACGGCCCAGACUCCUACGGGAGGCAGAAGUGGGGAAUAUUGCACAAUGGGCGCAAGCCUGAUGCAGCAACGCCGCGUGCGGGAUGACGGCCUUCGGGUUGUAAACCGCUUUCAGGAGGGACGAAGUGUGACUGACGGUACCUACAGAAGAAGGACCGGCUAACUACGUG